AAAUUGAAGAGUUUGAUCAUGGCUCAGAUUGAACGCUGGCGGCAGGCCUAACACAUGCAAGUCGAACGGUAGCACAGAGAGCUUGCUCUCGGGUGACGAGUGGCGGACGGGUGAGUAAUGUCUGGGAAACUGCCCGAUGGAGGGGGAUAACUACUGGAAACGGUAGCUAAUACCGCAUAACGUCGCAAGACCAAAGUGGGGGACCUUCGGGCCUCACACCAUCGGAUGUGCCCAGAUGGGAUUAGCUAGUAGGUGGGGUAACGGCUCACCUAGGCGACGAUCCCUAGCUGGUCUGAGAGGAUGACCAGCCACACUGGAACUGAGACACGGUCCAGACUCCUACGGGAGGCAGCAGUGGGGAAUAUUGCACAAUGGGCGCAAGCCUGAUGCAGCCAUGCCGCGUGUAUGAAGAAGGCCUUCGGGUUGUAAAGUACUUUCAGCGAGGAGGAAGGCGUUGUGGUUAAUAACCACAGCGAUUGACGUUACUCGCAGAAGAAGCACCGGCUAACUCCGUGCCAGCAGCCGCGGUAAUACGGAGGGUGCAAGCGUUAAUCGGAAUUACUGGGCGUAAAGCGCACGCAGGCGGUUUGUUAAGUCAGAUGUGAAAUCCCCGGGCUCAACCUGGGAACUGCAUUUGAAACUGGCAAGCUUGAGUCUCGUAGAGGGGGGUAGAAUUCCAGGUGUAGCGGUGAAAUGCG
Molecule: ribosomal RNA, 698 nt
Filed under: Salmonella enterica subsp. enterica serovar Kentucky
Lineage: Bacteria; Pseudomonadati; Pseudomonadota; Gammaproteobacteria; Enterobacterales; Enterobacteriaceae
Description: bacterial SSU rRNA
Rfam family: Bacterial small subunit ribosomal RNA
Source: RNAcentral